UGAGAAGGAGCUGUGGCUCAGUGCAGGAAGCAAUGCAGGAGCACCAAAUGUGCAUCAUCUCCGCUGUCUCCUACAAUUUAAAAGGAACUACGGUUUGGCGAGGGUCUAUGAUGUGCCUACAGUUUGUGAGCUCCAGUGCUGUGAAUCUCUGCUUAAAGCACCAUAUGACAUUCACCUGUAAUCCCAGCACUUCGAAAGGCCAAGGCGGGAGGAUCAAUUGAGCAGCCUGGGCAACAUAGGGAGACCUCAUCUCUACAAAAAAUAAAAAUAAAUUAGCCAGGUAUGGUGGUGCAUGCCUGGGGUCCCAGCCACUACUCAGGUGGUUGAGUUGAGAGGAUUGCUUGAGCCAGGGAAUUUGAGGCUGCAGCGAGUGGUGAUCACACCACUGCACUCCAGCCUGGGUGACAGAGUGAGACCCUCUCUCUAAAAAAAAAAAAAAAAAAAUCCACCAUGUUACACUCAUCAUCUCCAUGUGAGCAGUUCCUUCUAUCAGUAGAUUGCUGGUCACAGGCCACAGUGAUCUUUUGUGGCUUUCAUGUAUAUUUCAUCAUGUUUAGUGCAAUCCCAUAAACCUUGAAUAACACGAUGGGACCCAUAUGGAGUGCCACUACUGAUGCUGGAAAUGCUCCCAAGAAGCAGAAAAAAGUCAUGACAUUACAAGAAAAAGUUGCAUUGCUUGAUAUGCACUGUAGAUUGAGGUCUGAGGUCUGCAGCUGUGGUUGCCCCGACUUCAGACAGAUGAUUUGUCGUGUAAACAGACCAUGUAAACUUACAGCGUCAAUAAAUACAUUUCAGUACUGUAAAUGUAUUUUCUUUUCCUUACGAUUUUCUAAAUAACAAUCUCUUUUCUUUAGCUUACUUUGUUG
This 866-nucleotide long non-coding RNA is filed under the name Homo sapiens (human). Its description in RNAcentral is "HSALNT0129506". Lineage: Eukaryota; Metazoa; Chordata; Mammalia; Primates; Hominidae. The record is from RNAcentral.